CUGAAAGCAUCUAAGCGCGAAGCCGGCCCCAAGAUGAGGUUUCCCUUGGAGUUAAUCCAGUAAGACCCCUGGUAGAUGACCAGGUAGAUAGGCCGGAAGUGUAAGGAGAGCAAUCUCUUCAGCGGACCGGUACUAAUCGGUCGAGGGCUUGAAUCAA
This 157-nucleotide ribosomal RNA is filed under the name Bacillota bacterium. Its description in RNAcentral is "partial 23S ribosomal RNA". It matches the Rfam family "Bacterial large subunit ribosomal RNA", at positions 2771 to 2925 of the family's 2925-position model. Lineage: Bacteria; Bacillati; Bacillota. The record is from RNAcentral.